This 494-nucleotide ribosomal RNA is filed under the name Bokermannohyla gouveai. RNAcentral describes it as "partial small subunit ribosomal RNA". It matches the Rfam family "Bacterial small subunit ribosomal RNA", at positions 794 to 1522 of the family's 1533-position model. The record is from RNAcentral. Lineage: Eukaryota; Metazoa; Chordata; Amphibia; Anura; Hylidae.
GCUUAGCCGCAAACUUUUAAUUACACUCACAACGCCAGGGUACUACGAGCAAAGCUUAAAACCCAAGGGACUUGACGGUACCCCAUAUCCCCCUAGAGGAGCCUGUCCUAUAAUCGAUAAUCCCCGUUUAACCUCACCAUUUUUAGCCAUAUCAGUCUGUAUACCUCCGUCGCCAAUUUACCACGUGAGCGUCUAAUAGUAAGUGAAAUGUCUUAUUACUCAACUAUACGUCAGGUCAAGGUGCAGCAAAUAAAAUGGGAAGAGAUGGGCUACACUCUCUAAUUUAGAACACACGGAAAACUCGUUAUGAAAAGAGUUUGAAGGCGGAUUUAGUAGUAAGAAGGGCUCAGAGAACCCCUCUAAAACCGGCACUGGGGUGUGUACACACCGCCCGUCACCCUCUUCGCAGCCCUUAAAUAGUAUUUUACACCUACAUGCACAGUAGAAGAGGCAAGUCGUAACAUGGUAAGUAUACCGGAAGGUGUGCUUGGAAA